RNAcentral lists this ribosomal RNA (365 nucleotides) under uncultured bacterium. Its description in RNAcentral is "bacterial SSU rRNA". It matches the Rfam family "Bacterial small subunit ribosomal RNA", at positions 28 to 360 of the family's 1533-position model. The record is from RNAcentral.
GAUGAACGCUGGCGGCAUGCCUAAGACAUGCAAGCCGAACGAGAUGGCCCUUUGAAGCGGAGUGCUUGCACAAAGUGGAAAAGGAUUACCAUCUAGUGGCAGACGGGUGAGUAACACGUGGGUAACCUACCUUAUAGUUGGGGAUAACAGUUGGAAACGACUGCUAAUACCGAAUGAGAUGCAAUUGUUAAGAUUGUAUUGAAAGGAGCCUUUAAAGCUUCGCUACAAGAUGGGCCUGCGGCGUAUUAACUAGUUGGUGGGGUAAUGGCCUACCAAGGUAACGAUGCGUAGCCGAACUGAGAGGUUGAACGGCCACACUGGGACUGAGACACGGCCCAGACUCCUACGGGAGACAGCAGUUAGGA